This 321-nucleotide long non-coding RNA is filed under the name Homo sapiens (human). RNAcentral describes it as "non-protein coding lnc-SERPINA12-1:1". Lineage: Eukaryota; Metazoa; Chordata; Mammalia; Primates; Hominidae. The record is from RNAcentral.
CAUUUCUCAAGCUAUGUGGGGAAGGACUGCAGGGAGCAAUGUGGCCCUGGGUGCCCUGACUGAGAUGACCUUGACCAUUCAGGCAUCCUCUAGCAGACUUUCUGGAUGUGUUUCCAAGUCGUUGGGCCUUAAGGAAAUACCACUGGGCCAGAUGGGGCAGCUGCUGUGACACCACUGAUGUCCCCGGCAGGGAGCCGCUUUUUCCAGCAUCCCAGAAACUGCCUGAACUGUGCUGUAGGCAUGAAUCCCACUCCCUGACACCCUCCUCUGCUCCACUGCAUCCUAAAUUGCAACCCAGCCCUUUCUCAAUGGCUGUCUUGG